RNAcentral lists this ribosomal RNA (114 nucleotides) under Salvator merianae (Argentine black and white tegu). The record is from RNAcentral. Lineage: Eukaryota; Metazoa; Chordata; Lepidosauria; Squamata; Teiidae.
CUACUGAGCACUACAGCCCUUCAUUGAUCUUGUCUGAUCUUAGAAUCUAAGCAGAGACAGGACUGGUUAGUACUUGGAUAGGAAGACUGCCUGGGAAUACAGGUGCUUAUAAAC